GUCAAGCCUGUCAGCACCCCUGAGGCCAAGCCAGCCAGCACCCCUGAGGCUAAGCCUGUCAGCACCCCUGAGGCCAAGCCUGUCAGCAUUCCUGAGGCCAGGCCUGCCAGCACCUCUGAGGCCAAGCCUGUCAGCACCCCUGAAGCCAAGCUUGCCAGCACCCCUGAGGCCAAGCCUGCCAGCACCCCUGAGUCUUCAGAACCGACUUGACCCCUGGAGUGGUCCCGCAGCAUGGGUGGCAGUUCUGAAUAGUCCUACUUUAAUACACAGACAUGGUGUCCUACGCGUAACCGUCACAAGUGCAUGAGGAGCUAAGGAUGUGGCGGCGAGGUCCGAAAGGGUAAGAGUCUACAGAAUGCUGCUGCAGACCAUGAUAUGCUUGAAAAUUCUCAACAGCUCCACGAUGGGGACGACCUGUCAGAUGCAUUCCAGCAUGACUUUGGUCCAGAUUGUAAAAAGGCCUCCCAGAUCUACUUGAGAAUGAUCCUAUCAACUGGUGUCCUGAUCUAGAUCCAACAGGAUUUUUUACUGUCCAUGGACUGCUGCUGUUACAGUGAUUCUGAAUGCUAGAAAGAUUCUUAGCAGAAGAAAAGACCUAGGAAAGUGCCUUAAGGCUUUUAAGUGGCUAAGCUGUGGCAAAUGCAGAAGACUGGAUCAUAAAUAAGUAACACUGUAAGAACUUAAUGUGUGUCAACAACAUUGCAAGGGAAAUGUUACCUGAUUGCUUAAUGACUGGAGGAAGCAGAAGUGGUACCGCUAUGCAGAACAACGCCAUCUGUGGUGGAACACUUGUUCCUGGAGAUGCCUUAUUUUUCUGGCCAAAGAGGAACUUCAGUUUACCUUCAAACUGCAUUGUCUGCACCACAU
Long non-coding RNA from Bufo gargarizans (Asiatic toad), 867 nucleotides. RefSeq lists it as uncharacterized. The transcript has 5 exons. NCBI's taxonomy places the organism in Eukaryota, Metazoa, Chordata, Amphibia, Anura, Bufonidae. The record is from RefSeq and is a predicted model, not a curated record.